UGUGGAACGGUGCGAGCCGGCUGUGUCUAAGUGGAUGGUUCGAGCUGGCUGUGUCUCGCACCGAGUCCAAGCACUCGGCCCUCACGGGGUUCUCCGGAGCUGGUCCGGGGCUGGCAGCAGCGGCAGCAUCACCUGGGAGCUGCUUGUUAGAAAGGCAAAUUCUUAGCCUGCCUCCAGCCUCACUAAUUCAAGUGGAUCCCAGCGAUCCGUGACUUAACCAGCUCUCCAGGUGGUUCCGAGAAGCACUGCUCUGGUGGGCGCCCAGAGCUGAGGAAGCACAAGCUUCUUGGAAUGGAAUGACCAUCGAGCGACCGUAUAGAUGCUCAAGAUCAGGUUGGUUGAUUCCCUGACAUUCCAGCAACCCGGAAACUAACUGGCACAAGGGAAGACAUGGCUGCCUGCGGCUGACGUUUGCGUCUUCGUGCUGUGAGGCAUCCGUGGUAUGAACGUGCUACAUUUUGAUCACCCAUUCUAUUGGUGCACAUCUGGGGAGCUUCCUGCCUGGGGAAUAUGAAUGGUGUUGCUGGGAAAAUGUUCCUGUGCAUCUUUUGCCCCCCAGUACUGGGAAAUUUCUCCAAUAAUCGAAACCAUGAGGACAAAGAAGUUGUGCCACCAUUUUGAGCUUUGGGGAGAAAGGAGCUAUUUAUGCCAGUAGGUCUUUUAUUUUGGGCAAUAGUCAAAGCUCCUUGGGGCCCCCUUUGGCACAGCCCAUGGGGCGGUCAGGCACUCACCAUGUUGUUCCAGAGUGCGAUGGCCAUCUCGGCAUGACCACGUUCUGAGAAGUGGAAACAGUCCUCGGAGAAGAAGGUGAGGUCAGUGUCCCCUCUCUGGGACCAAAGGCAAAGGGAUUAGUUCCUGGGGAGAAAGGUACCGCCUCCCACCCCUGCAGGUGACCUGGGCAUCAUUCCUUUCAACUCUGCUGCCACCUAGCUCAGAGACGGAUGGAGAAACUCUCCAAUUUUGGAACAUUUAAAAAGAGCCGAAUUGGGGUGCCUGGGUGGCUCAGACAGCUAAAUGUUUGCCUUCGGCUCAGGUCAUGAUCUCCAGGUCCUGAGACUGAGCUCCUACUGAGCUGGGAGCCUGCUUCUCCCUCUCCCUCUGCCUGCUGCUCCCCUUGCUUGUACCCUGUCUCUCUCUCAAAUGAAUAAAUAAAAUCUUUUUAAAAAGAGAGAGAGCUGAAUUGUAACCUCCCACUGUCCAUCCCUUUUCCUUCCACAUCCUUGCCCUAAGAGAUGAAAAAAAAAAUUUAGGAAGCUUUCCAUUCUACCCCAAACUAGAAAAUAGCAGGGCCAGGGCUGCGGUCACUGAUAAUUUUCUCCUUUUCUUUCCAAGUAUAUCUAAGUUCCAAUCAUACUUUUUAAAAAAAAAAAAAAAAAGGGAAAAACAGAAAAAGCAAAAUCUUAGGAGCCCUCUUGGAGGCAUCUGGCCAGGAAAAGCUCAGGCGUAGAAGGAUGUACAUCACCGAAGAAGAGCCCCUCUACACGUGCCUCCCAGACGUGCCCACCGCUUACGCUGUUGAGGGGGACGAGAGUGUUUUGGAAGAAAGGCUGCACCACCACGGCGAAGUCUUCCCGCUGCAGAAUGUAUCCAAAGGCUUUCUCAGUCUCAAGAAAUCUCAACCCAGGAAGAAUCAAAGAUCUGCCACAGACCUCGAAGCCACAUGGAUGCAGACCCCACCAGGGGCUAGCCUGCCUCCAGCCCCCUCCUUCUGCAUGGUUACUCUGGGCUUCUACAGCGUUCCCCAUCUCCUCGCUUUUUCCCCCUGCUGGCACAGGAGGUUGGGGAGGAAACGAGCAGGAUUACUUUUCCCUGCAUCUUCCAGAUGUCGGCCACGGAUAAGGAAAAUGAAUGCUGUGGGUAAGAGUGAAGCAGGUGGAGGGAAGUGUGCCCAGCAGCAAGGAUGAGCAAACUGCCCAUCUGGACGACACGAGUGCGUCUCAAAACGACCUGCUGGGUGACAGACGUUAGACAAGAGCAGCCAGUGUAGGAUUCCACAUAACAUUCCAGAAAAGGAAAACUGAUCUCUAGAGAUAGAAAGCAGGUCAGAGGCUACCUGGGGCCCCAGGGCUGGGGUAGAGAUGGAAGGAGCCCGGAGGGAGAGAGAGGGGUUACCAAGGACACAGGGACACCCAAAGGUGUGAUGGGUGUCAUCUGGAUUCCAGUGACAUUUAACAGCUAGGGACACACGCGAAGCUUAUCAAACUGUAUUCCUGAGAUAUGUGCCGUGAACCGCAUG
This is a long non-coding RNA of Mustela lutreola (European mink), 2236 nucleotides long. RefSeq lists it as uncharacterized. The record is from RefSeq and is a predicted model, not a curated record. NCBI's taxonomy places the organism in Eukaryota, Metazoa, Chordata, Mammalia, Carnivora, Mustelidae. The transcript has 6 exons.